UGAAAAUUCACACUUAAAAACCUGAACUUGUCACGUCUCUUUUACAGCACUGUAACUUCACAAAAUAGUGUCUAGGUCAUACAUUGGGCAUAUUGCUUUACUCAGAAGACUUAGCUGAGCAUAAUUUGGGGGGUUUGAACAUAUGAAAUAUACAAAAUGCCCAGCAAAAAUGUAAUCCGUAUGUAAAAAAUGCCCAAAAUUAUUUUUUACCACAUACUUUGGCAUAUAUUGGUG
Non-coding RNA from Pelobates cultripes (western spadefoot toad), 234 nucleotides. The record is from the annotation of a GenBank genome assembly. NCBI's taxonomy places the organism in Eukaryota, Metazoa, Chordata, Amphibia, Anura, Pelobatidae.